AAGAUUGGAUUGAUUUUUUCCCUAAUAGCGAAGAUACAUGUGUACAAUAUGUAUUACUGUUGUUCGAUGCAUCGUGUGGGUAACCCCGCCGGAGAGGAUCCGUAUCCAUGCGGGUCCAUUGAAAUUUUGAUACCCAAUUUCGAGGAGUUUGUGUCGGCCAUGGCGGCAGGGUGGAGCGCGCAGCAGCUUAUCGUGGAGAGGUCAGAGCAGAGUCACAGAUAAAGCAUGUUGAGUAAAAUCAUUUUACUGUGGUUCUAGGGUUUGUUAUCAAGAUUUCUGGAAAUUUAUCAAUUGGGAAGAAGAAUCAGAGUGUGUUGGUGGUGUGAAUUCACAGAAUUUUAGCUAAGUGAUCAGAAAACAGAAAAUUGCAAAUCAAGCAGUUGUUGGGUCUACAUUACUGGAAAUGGGAGAGUGUACAAAAAAAUUGAAUUCAAGUUUCUGACAGCGGAAGAUUGAGGAAUUUUGAAAUGAUUAGAUGAUGAUAAUGAUAUUGAAGAGCCUGAAAAGAUUAAUAUUCUGUUGCUGGGUCCAACAAGUUCAGUGAAGUAGGCUCCUCCACCAUGGAGUACCCAGAGUUGCUACAGAGAGCAAUAGUUUUUUGUGUUUGUGAAUGCAGUUUCAUUUCAAAAUAAAGCAUGGCUAAGGAAGAACCCCACAGCAGUUCACAAGUUCCUAGAAGCGCUCACUUUCUAAGUUGCAGAAGAGAAAGUUAAGGCCCCUUGCACAACAAGUAAAACAGAAGAAGAAACAGGUACUGCCAAAGAUAGAGAGGUGAGAAAAAGAAAGUGGAUGAACCACAAGUAGCAUAGACAACUUGUAUAUAAGCUUUUGCAUAUAUUUUACAAAACGUGUAUUUGAGGUUCAAUAGACAAUAAAACUAGGUUGCCAGAAAGUGGAAGAGCACCAAAGAAUCCAUUAUUUCUUGGUGGUUCCCACUUCCCAAAAAACUGAAACUGUUACAUUGAAAUACAUCUGAAAAGAACAAUUAUUGGA
Molecule: long non-coding RNA, 993 nt
Organism: Lotus japonicus
Lineage: Eukaryota; Viridiplantae; Streptophyta; Magnoliopsida; Fabales; Fabaceae
Exons: 3
Source: RefSeq, a predicted model, not a curated record